This 268-nucleotide ribosomal RNA is filed under the name uncultured soil bacterium. Its description in RNAcentral is "partial 16S ribosomal RNA". It matches the Rfam family "Bacterial small subunit ribosomal RNA", at positions 26 to 297 of the family's 1533-position model. The record is from RNAcentral.
AGGACGAACGCUGGCGGCGUGCAUAACACAUGCAAGUCGAGCGGAAAGGCCUUUCGGGGUACUCGAGCGGCGAACGGGUGAGUAACACGUGAGUAAUCUGCCCAUCGCUUCAGGAUAGCCAUCGGAAACGGUGAUUAAUACUGGAUAUGACAUUCCUUCGCAUGUUGGGGUGUGGUAAAGUUUUUUCGGCGGUGGAUGUGCUCGCGGCCUAUCAGCUUGUUGGUGGGGUAAUGGCCUACCAAGGCUUUGACGGGUAGCCGGCCUGAGA